GAUGGACGCUGGCGGCGUGCUUAACACAUGCAAGUCGAACGGGGAACAUUUUAAAGAAGCUUCGGCAGAUUUAGUUUGUUCCUAGUGGCGGACGGGUGAGUAACGCGUGGGUAACCUGCCUCACACUGGGGGAUAACAGUCAGAAAUGACUGCUAAUACCGCAUAAGCGCACAGAGCUGCAUGGCUCAGUGUGAAAAACUCCGGUGGUGUGAGAUGGACCCGCGUUGGAUUAGCCAGUUGGCAGGGUAACGGCCUACCAAAGCGACGAUCCAUAGCCGGCCUGAGAGGGUGGACGGCCACAUUGGGACUGAGACACGGCCCAGACUCCUACGGGAGGCAGCAGUGGGGAAUAUUGCACAAUGGGGGAAACCCUGAUGCAGCGACGCCGCGUGAAGGAAGAAGUAUCUCGGUAUGUAAACUUCUAUCAGCAGGGAAGAAAAUGACGGUACCKACUAAGAGUCCCGWWAUYYC
RNAcentral lists this ribosomal RNA (471 nucleotides) under uncultured bacterium. Its description in RNAcentral is "bacterial SSU rRNA". It matches the Rfam family "Bacterial small subunit ribosomal RNA", at positions 28 to 504 of the family's 1533-position model. The record is from RNAcentral.